GAUUGUGAGACUCAUAAAAAUUAUUUUAAUAAUCAAUAAUUCUUAUUAGAUAAGUUAAAAUUAUUUCAAUCUAUUGAAAAGAAUUUUAAUGAUAUUUGUUGGGUAUAAAAUACCCCCAAUCAAAGUUUGUAAAGGACCGACCCUUUCAGGACAUUUCUAGCUUCCGACCUUGUGUGGUGUCUUUCUGAACCUCCUCGACCGUCCGAGCUUCCAUAAUACCAUCCGAACUUCUCCGACAAUGAGCUUCUCUAUUCAUCUACCGGGCCGCUCCAAAGGCUCUCUGGG
Molecule: long non-coding RNA, 285 nt
Filed under: Elaeis guineensis (African oil palm)
Lineage: Eukaryota; Viridiplantae; Streptophyta; Magnoliopsida; Arecales; Arecaceae
Description: long non-coding RNA (EGUI_LNC057022)
Source: RNAcentral